GACGAACGCUGGCGGCGUGCUUAACACAUGCAAGUCGAACGGAAAGGCCCUGCUUGCAGGGUACUCGCGUGGCGCACGGGUGAGUAACACGUGGGUGAUCUGCCCUGCACUUCGGGGUAAGCCUGGGAAACUGGGUCUAUUACCGGAUAGGAGACCUCCUUCGUGUUAUGGUUGGAAAGUUUUUUCGGUCUAGGAUGAGCUCGCGGCCUAUCAGCUUGUUGGUGGGGUAAUGGCCUACCAAGGCGGCGACGGGUAGCCGGCCUGAGAGGGUGGACGGCCACAUUGGGACUGAGAUACGGCCCAGACUCCUACGGGAGGCAGCAGUGGGGAAUAUUGCACAAUGGGCGGAAGCCUGAUGCAGCGACGCCGCGUGGGGGAUGACGGCCUUCGGGUUGUAAACUCCUUUCGCUAGUGACGAAGCUUUUGGUGACGGUAUCUAUAUAAGAAGCACCGGCUAACUACGU
This 464-nucleotide ribosomal RNA is filed under the name uncultured bacterium. RNAcentral describes it as "partial 16S ribosomal RNA". It matches the Rfam family "Bacterial small subunit ribosomal RNA", at positions 28 to 506 of the family's 1533-position model. The record is from RNAcentral.